CACCACAGACAAACUGAGGUCUUUGGUUCGAAAAUGGCAAACUCUUAUUGAAGCCCAUGUGGAUGUGAAGACAACUGAUAAUUACACAUUGAGGAUGUUUUGUAUUGGAUUCACCAAGAGAAGAGCUAACCAGGUGAAGAGAACCUGUUAUGCACAAUCAAGCCAGAUUAGACAGGUAUACACACCAACAUUGUAGUAAGAUUCUACUGUUGAGCAAUAUUUUGGUUUUGUUUGUCAACACAAAGUAUGUACUUCGCAUUCAAUAUGUUGUACAGGACGUGUUCUGGUUGCAUUUCUCUGUAUACAGUGCAUAGUGGAUUUUAACUGCAGAGUUUGUGUUUUUUUGCUACGUUAUUGCAGUUUAAUAAUUGAUAUCAUACGCUUAACUUUUCAGAUACGUAGGAAGAUGAGAGAGAUCAUGACCAACCAGGCAACAGCCUGUGAUUUGAAGGAGUUGGUCCGAAAGUUCAUUCCUGAGAUUAUUGGAAAAGAAAUUGAGAAGGCCACGUCUAGCAUUUAUCCUCUGCAGAACGUGUUUGUCCGAAAAGUCAAGAUCCUUAAAGCUCCUAAGUUUGAUCUUGGGAAAUUGAUGGAGGUAAUUUUUAAAAUAAUUUUCUUUCAUCUUUCUUCUAUACUAGAUUUCGUGGAAAAUAUUUCACAAAUUCCUUUAGCCGAAUAAACUUUGAUGUCUACUGUGUGUGUUUGGUUUACCAUUAGGAGAUAACUUAAUGUGUUUCUGAAGUAAUAGUUGAUAGACAAUUUGUAUUGUUAAUAAAUCUGGCCAUCCUUGUUAUUCAUACGAAUGUCCAGGGUUUUUGAAUUCUUUUCCUGUGGAUAGAUGGAUCAGCUGAGCAAAUUGAGCACGUUAUCUUUUUUUUAUCUAUAAACUAGUUCAUUUUGUUGUAGGCACCGAAAUAGAAAUUUUGUUGUACUUAAUGUUUAUAUCUAUUAUUCCCUUGAUUAAAACCUUAUGAUUUGUUGAUCACGGCACUUAUCAUGUCUUGCCAAGUAAUAAAGUUUUUACUGGUAUAUGUUGAUGACACCUUUUAAGCGUAUUUCUUUUCGGUUUGGCCCUUGUAGGUUCAUGGUGAUUACUCAGAAGAUGUUGGCACAAAGGUAGACAGACCUGCUGAUGAAACAAUUGCAG
Molecule: long non-coding RNA, 1147 nt
Filed under: Vigna radiata
Lineage: Eukaryota; Viridiplantae; Streptophyta; Magnoliopsida; Fabales; Fabaceae
Description: long non-coding RNA (VRAD_LNC009336)
Source: RNAcentral